AUUGAACGCUGGCGGCAUGCCUUACACAUGCAAGUCGAACGGCAGCACGGGUGCUUGCACCUGGUGGCGAGUGGCGAACGGGUGAGUAAUACAUCGGAACGUACCUUAUCGUGGGGGAUAACGCAGCGAAAGCUGUGCUAAUACCGCAUACGCCCUGAGGGGGAAAGCGGGGGAUCGCAAGACCUCGCGCGAUUAGAGCGGCCGAUGCCUGAUUAGCUUGUUGGUGGGGUAAAAGCCCACCAAAGCGACGAUCAGUAGCUGGUCUGAGAGGACGAUCAGCCACACGGGGACUGAGAAACGGCCCAGACUCCUACGGGAGGCAGCAGUGGGGAAUUUUGGACAAUGGGGGCAACCCUGAUCCAGCAAUGCCGCGUGAGUGAAGAAGGCCUUCGGGUUGUAAAGCUCUUUUGUCAGGGAAGAAACACCGGCUCUAACACAGUCCGGGAAUGACGGUACCUGAAGAAUAAGCACCGGCUAACUACGUGCCAGCCGCCGCAGUAA
This 501-nucleotide ribosomal RNA is filed under the name uncultured bacterium. RNAcentral describes it as "partial 16S ribosomal RNA". It matches the Rfam family "Bacterial small subunit ribosomal RNA", at positions 29 to 523 of the family's 1533-position model. The record is from RNAcentral.